RNAcentral lists this long non-coding RNA (1124 nucleotides) under Sarcophilus harrisii (Tasmanian devil). RNAcentral describes it as "lncRNA (ENSSHAG00000028279.1)". The record is from RNAcentral. Lineage: Eukaryota; Metazoa; Chordata; Mammalia; Dasyuromorphia; Dasyuridae.
UUCCUGAGGAGUUUAACGUAUUACAACAGUCUUAUCAUGUCUCAGAGAAUCCAAUUAUUACUGAGGAGUUUAACGUAUUACAACAAUCUUAUCAUAUCUCCGAGAAUCCAAUGAUUCCUGAGGAGUUUAACGUAUUACAACAAUCUUAUCAUAUCUCAGAGAAUCCAGUGAUUCCUGAGAGGUUUCAAUUAUUUCAACAAUCUUAUCAUAUCUCAGAGAAUCCAUUGAUUUGUGAGGAGUUUAACAUAUUACAACAAUCUUAUCAUAUCUCAGAAAAUCCAAUGAUUCCUGAGCAGUUUUAAGUAUUACAAAAAUCUUAUCAUAUCUCAGAGAAUCCAAAGAUUCCUAAGGGGUUUCAAUUAUUACAACAAUCUUAUCAUAUCUCAGAGAAUCCAAUGAUUCCUGAGGGGUUUCAAUUAUUACAACAAUCUUAUCAUAUCUCAGAGAAUCCAAUGAUUCCUGAGGAAUUUUAAGAAUUACAACAAUCUUAUCAUAUCUCAGAGAAUCCAAUGAUUCCUGAGGGGUUUCAAUUAUUACAACAAUCUUAUUAUAUCUCAGAGAAUCCAAUGAUUCUUGGGGAGUUUAGAGUAUUGCAGCAAUCUCAUUAUGUCUCAGAGAAUCCAAAGAUUCCUGAGGAGUUUAACGUAUUACAACAAUGUCAACAUGUGUCAGAGAAUCCAAUGAUUCCUGAGGGGUUUAACGUAUUACAACAAUGUCAACAUGUGUCAGAAAAUCCAAUGAUUCCUGAGGGGUUUCAAUUAUUACAACAAUCAUAUCAUAUCUCAAAGAAUCCAAUGAUUCCUGAUGAGUUUAACGUAUUACAACAAUCUUAUCAUGUCUCAGAGAAUCCAAUGAUUCCUGAGGAGUUUAACAUAUUACAACAAUCUUAUCAUGUCUCAGAGAAUCCAAUGAUUCCUGAGGAGUUUAACGUAUUACAACAAUGUCAACAUGUGUCAGAGAAUCAAUAUUGAUUCUGAGGAGUUUAACAAUAUUACAACAAUCUUAUCUUAUCUCGAUCAAUGAUUCUGAGGGGUUUCAAUUAUUACAAAAAUCUUAUCAUAUCUGAAAUCCAAUGAUUCCAUUGAGGGUUUCAGUAUAUACAAAAAUCUUAUCAUAUCUCAGAG